RNAcentral lists this non-coding RNA (28 nucleotides) under Homo sapiens (human). Lineage: Eukaryota; Metazoa; Chordata; Mammalia; Primates; Hominidae. The record is from RNAcentral.
UAGGUAUAUAAAGAAACUAGAUGUGCUC